RNAcentral lists this ribosomal RNA (451 nucleotides) under uncultured bacterium. Its description in RNAcentral is "bacterial SSU rRNA". It matches the Rfam family "Bacterial small subunit ribosomal RNA", at positions 29 to 524 of the family's 1533-position model. The record is from RNAcentral.
AAUGAACGCUGGCGGCAGGCCUAACACAUGCAAGUCGAACGAGGUAGCAAUACCUAGUGGCGGACGGGUGAGUAACACGUGGGAACGUACCCUUUGCUACGGGAAUAGCCCUGGGAAACUGGGAGUAAUACCGUAUGAGCCCGAGAGGGGAAAGAUUUAUCGGCAAAGGAUCGGCCCGCGUUGGAUUAGGUAGUUGGUGGGGUAAUGGCCUACCAAGCCGACGAUCCAUAGCUGGUUUGAGAGGACGAUCAGCCACACUGGGACUGAGACACGGCCCAGACUCCUACGGGAGGCAGCAGUGGGGAAUCUUAGACAAGGGGGGAAACCCUGAUCUAGCCAUGCCGCGUGAUCGAUGAAGGCCUUAGGGUUGUAAAGAUCUUUCGGGUGGGAAGAUAAUGACUGUACCACCAGAAGAAGCCCCGGCUAACUCCGUGCCAGCAGCCGCGGUAAU